This 255-nucleotide ribosomal RNA is filed under the name Triticum aestivum (bread wheat). RNAcentral's name for it is "partial small subunit ribosomal RNA". Lineage: Eukaryota; Viridiplantae; Streptophyta; Magnoliopsida; Poales; Poaceae. The record is from RNAcentral.
AUGGGGUGCAGACUGCAGAGUCAUUCUAGUCCCCCGGUAAUAACAACCCCGCUUCCCUCUUGCUUCUCCCAUUUCCAGGCCCCAGGCGCCGGCGCCGCCACACGGCCGCACCCCGUCUGCCUGAUCUCCCACUCCAGUACUCUCUGUCACCACGGCCGCUCAGGGCGCCCGCAUCGUCCUCGUCACGUUAUCCCGCGCCACUCCUCGGCGGCAGGCAGGACGGCGCGGCCUCGACGUCGGCGUCUGUUCUUCUAG